This 206-nucleotide ribosomal RNA is filed under the name uncultured bacterium. RNAcentral describes it as "partial 16S ribosomal RNA". It matches the Rfam family "Bacterial small subunit ribosomal RNA", at positions 568 to 774 of the family's 1533-position model. The record is from RNAcentral.
UACGUAGGCGGUCAGGUAAGUCACGUGUGAAAUCCCGGAGCUCAACUCCGGAACUGCAUCCGACACUGCUUGACUUGAGUAAUGGAGAGGCAGGUGGAAUUCUCGGUGUAGCAGUGAAAUGCGUAGAUAUCGAGAGGAAGACCAAUGGCGAAAGCAGCCUGCUGGACAUUUACUGACGCUGAGGUACAAGGCUAGGGUAGCGAAAG